RNAcentral lists this long non-coding RNA (903 nucleotides) under Setaria viridis. RNAcentral describes it as "long non-coding RNA (SVIR_LNC009035)". The record is from RNAcentral. Lineage: Eukaryota; Viridiplantae; Streptophyta; Magnoliopsida; Poales; Poaceae.
CCAUUUGCAGGUAGCGCUGAUGGAGCACUGCAAAAAUCCUUCCAUGUCGGGAGACAAGUGCCAUCAUUACCGAGUGUCCAAUCUGAUAGGCGGAUUCAGAAACAGUAUGUAUGCCUUUUGGUCAUAUUUAUGUCUGCGAAAUGUUCCUAUUUUGUUUCACUUGGCUUAACUAUAAUGUGGUCAUUUAGUUAUUUUCUAAUGUAACAUUUAGACACUACUUAUGUAAAACUGUAAAGGGAGAAUUAGCUGACAUGUUAGUUAUGUGACAAAGACAAUGUAGUUGUUUGAUGAAUGUUAAGCAAAAAGGUAGGCUUACAGGGAACACCUGGUACUAAUGCAUGUCAAUAACUUGUUGUGCAAGUACUUAUGUUCAUCUUCUCUUAUUUAUGUUUACAGUUUUGCAGCAAAUUCCCCUUCAAAAAGUGUUGCAGAAAUUUUUGGGAAACAACACUACAAAUAACAUCAAAUUUCGUUUUCAGUUCCUAAAUCUGACUAUUUUUUUUCGUCCACCAGCCUCCCAUGUCGCGAUCCAUCCCGCGGUCGGAUGCAGAUCAAAUCCUUGGGUGCUGACCGAGGGAUCAUCACGCGCGGCCAUGGCAAUCAACAUCAGCAGUUCUCGACAAAGACCACGACGGCCCUAAGCGAUGCCUGGUCCAUGACGCCAACCGAGUUGCGCCCUCUGACAUUGUCGAGUCAGCUGCAAGUGCAGAGUCUUACUCUGAACCCAUGCUUCGACUAUCUCCAAUAACCUAUCCAUUUCGGGCUUUCCAGAUAUAUAAGAAAAUUUAUUUGUCAGACACAAUUUAGAAUGAAACAAUUAUUAUAGAAAUAGGUAAGUGAAAUCUGUUUUAGUCUCAUCAACAUGUUCCGUUGAGUGUCACCGUUCACCAGUUUAAGUGUUUU